RNAcentral lists this ribosomal RNA (206 nucleotides) under uncultured bacterium. RNAcentral's name for it is "partial 16S ribosomal RNA". It matches the Rfam family "Bacterial small subunit ribosomal RNA", at positions 568 to 774 of the family's 1533-position model. The record is from RNAcentral.
CGUGUAGGCGGUAUGGUAAGUCAGAUGUGAAAGCCCUGGGCUUAACCCAGGAAGUGCAUUUGAUACUGCCAUUCUUGAGUAUGGGAGAGGAGAGUGGAAUUCCUAGUGUAGAGGUGAAAUUCGUAGAUAUUAGAGGAACACCCGUGGCGAAGGCGACUCUCUGGACCAAUACUGACGCUGAGACGCGAAAGCGUGGGGAGCAAACA